RNAcentral lists this ribosomal RNA (461 nucleotides) under uncultured bacterium. RNAcentral describes it as "partial 16S ribosomal RNA". It matches the Rfam family "Bacterial small subunit ribosomal RNA", at positions 338 to 795 of the family's 1533-position model. The record is from RNAcentral.
CCUACGGGUGGCAGCAGUGAGGAAUAUUGGUCAAUGGCCGCAAGGCUGAACCAGCCAAGCCGCGUGAGGGAGGAAGGCGCAAAGCGUCGCAGACCUCUUUUGCCGGGGGACAAAGGGCCGGACUCGUGCGGUCCUGUGGGUACCCGGAGAAUAAGCAUCGGCUAACUCCGUGCCAGCAGCCGCGGUAAUACGGAGGAUGCGAGCGUUAUCCGGAUUCAUUGGGUUUAAAGGGUGCGUAGGCUGGGAGGUAAGUCAGCGGUGAAAUGCCCCCGCUCAACGGGUUGAAGUGCGAUUGAUACUGGCUUGCUUGAGUGCAGAUGCGGUGGGAGGAAUGUGUGGUGUAGCGGUGAAAUGCAUAGAUAUCACACAGAACACCGAUUGCGAAGGCAGCUCACGAAUCCGCGAUUGACGCUGAUGCACGAAAGCGUGGGUAUCAAACAGGAUUAGAUACCCCGGUAGUC